Long non-coding RNA from Oncorhynchus tshawytscha (Chinook salmon), 1751 nucleotides. NCBI's taxonomy places the organism in Eukaryota, Metazoa, Chordata, Actinopteri, Salmoniformes, Salmonidae. The record is from Ensembl.
UGUACAUUCGCGCACAUGUAUUAGGCUAUAGAGAUGUUUACGAUGUAGCCUAACAUAUGCUAGUUUCAAGGUAACCUAAUAGCGUGUAUCUAGAACACACACACUCAGAAAUACAGAACGCAUCGAGGAAGGAGCCACGCGCUCAGGAGUGGCCAUCCUGUAAAGAUGACUGCAAGAGCACAGCGCAGAAUGCUCAAUGAGGAAGAAGAAUCAUAGAGUGUCAGCUAAAGACUUACAAAAAUCUCUGGAAGAUGCUAAAAUCUCUGUUGACGAGUCUACAAUACGUAAAACACUCAACAAGAACGGUUUUCAUGAGAUGACAUCAUGGAAGAAGCCACUGCUGUCCAAAAAAAACCAUUGCUGCACAUCUGAAGUUUGCAAAAGAGCACCUGGAUGUUCCAGCACUACUGGCAAAAUAUUAUGUGGACAGAUUCAACUAAAGUUGUGUUGUUUGGAAGGAACACACAACACUAUGUGUGGAGAAAAAAAGGCACAGUACACCAACAUAAAAACCUCCCAACUGUAAAUUAUGGUGGAGGGAGCAUUAUGGUUUGGGGCUGGUUUGCUGCCUCAAGUCCUGGAGAGCUUGCUAUCGUCCACAGAAACAUUUAUUCUUAAGUUUAUCAAGACAUUUUGCAGGAGAAUGUAAGGCUAUCUGUCCGCCAAUUGAAGCUCAACAGACGUUAGGUGAUGCAAAAGGACAACCAUCCAAAAGACAGAAGUACUGUGGCUUGUGAAAGUAUUCACCUCCUUUGGCAUUUUUCCUAUUUUGUUGCCUUACAACCUGGAAUUAAAAUAGAUUUUUGGGGGGUUUGUAUCAUUUGAUUUACACAACAUGCCUACCACUUUGAAAAUGCAAAAUAUUUUUCAUUGUGAAACAAACAAGAAAUAACACAAAAAAAACUGUUCUUGAGCGUGCAUAACUAUUCACCCCUCCCAAAGUCAAUACUUUGUAGAGCCACCUUUUGCAGCAACUACAGCUGCAAGUCUCUUGGAGUAUGUCAUUAUAAGCUUGGCACAUCAUGCCACUGGGAUUUUUUGCCCAUUCUUCAAGGCAAAACUGUCCAGGUCCUUCAAGUUGGAUAGGUUCUGCUGGUGUACAGCAAUAUUUAAGUCAUACCACAGAUUCUCAAUUGGAUUGAGGUCUGGGCUUUGACUAGGCCAUUCCAAGACAUUUAAAUGUUUCCCCUUAAACCACUCGAGUGUUGCUUUAGCAGUAUGCUUAGGGCCAUUGUCCUGCUGGAAGGUGAACCUCCGUCCCAGUCUAAAAUCUCUGGAAGACUGAAACAAGUUUCCCUCAAGAAUUUCCCUGUAUUUAGCGCCAUCCAUCAUUCCUUCAAUUCUGACCAGUUUCCCAGUCCCUGCCGAUGAAAAACAUCCCCACAGAAUGAUGCUGCCACCACCAUGCUUCACUGUGGGGGUGGUGUUCUCGGGGUGAUGGGAGGUGUUGGGUUUGCACCAGACAUAGAGUUUAAGAUACGUUUUUGUCUAAUCUGACCUUAGUACCUUUUUUCAUAUGUUUGGGGAGUCUCCCACAUGCCUUUUGGUGAACACCAAACGUGUUUGCUUGUCAUUUUCUUUAAGCAAAGGCUUUUUUCUGGCCACUUUUCUGGCCCAGCUCUGUGGAGUGUACGGCUUAAAGUGGUCUUAUGGACAGAUACUCCAAUCUCUGCUGUGGAGCUUUGCAGCUCUUUGAUGCCUCUCUGAUUAAUGCUCUCCUUGCCUGGUCCAUGAGUUUUGGUAGGUGGCCC